AAGUAGUUAAGAGCUUAUGGUGGAUACCUUGGCAUUUAGAAGCGAUGAAGGGCGUGACUACCAGCGAAAUGCUUCGGUUAGUUGGAAGUAAACUAUGACCCGGAGGUUCCCGAAUGAGGCAACUCUUUUAUACUAUCUAUUGAAUUUAUAAAUAGAUUAGGGCAAACUUAGUGAACUGAAACAUCUUAGUAGCUAAAGGAAUAGAAAGCAAAAGCGAUUCUCUUAGUAGCGGCGAGCGAAAAGGGAUCAGCCCAAACCACUUUAAUAAGUUUAUGUGGGGUAGUGGGACAAAAAUAUGAUUUUAUAUAAUGUUAUGUGAAACAAUUGGAAUCUUGUAUCGUAGAAGGUGAUAAUCCUGUAACUUAAAGCAUAAUAUAAGAUUUUUUGUAUCCCAAGUAGCAUGGGGCACGUGAAAUCCCGUGUGAAUCUGCGAGGACCACCUCGUAAGGCUAAAUAUUACUAAAUGACCGAUAGUGAACUAGUACCGUGAGGGAAAGGUGAAAAGAACCCCGGGAGGGGAGUGAAAUAGAACAUGAAACCAUAAGCUUACAAGCAGUAGGAGGACUACUAAAAGUUUGACUGUGUGCAUGUUGAAGAAUGAGCCGGCGACUUAUAUGUUAUGGCAGGUUAAAAUAUUAAGUAUUGGAGCCAUAGUGAAAGCGAGCUUUAAUAGAGCGAUAGUCAUAUUAUAUAGACCCGAACCCGGAUGAUCUAACCAUGACCAGGGUGAAGCUUAGGUAACACUAAGUGAAGGUCCGAACCGACUGAUGUUGAAAAAUCAGCGGACGAGUUGUGGUUAGGGGUGAAAUGCCAAUCGAAUUCGGAGCUAGCUGGUUCUCCCCGAAAUGCGUUUUGGCGCAGCGGUUGAUGCUAUAACUUAGGGGUAAAGCACUGUUUCGGUGCGGGCUGCGAGAGCGGUACCAAAUCAAGGCAAACUCUGAAUACUAAGUGUGUAAUCAACCAGUGAGACAGUGGGGGAUAAGCUUCAUUGUCAAAAGGGAAACAGCCCAGAUCACCAUCUAAGGCCCCCAAAUAAUUGCUAAGUGAUAAAGGAAGUAAGAAUGCUUAUACAGCCAGGAGGUUUGCUUAGAAGCAGCAAUCCUUUAAAGAGUGCGUAAUAGCUCACUGGUCUAGUGAUCUUGCGCCGAAAAUGAACGGGGCUAAGCAAUUUGCCGAAGAUGUGGGAUGUUUUACAUCGGUAGGGGAGCGUUCUGUUGUAGUUUGAAGCAUUAACGUAAGUGGAUGUGGACAAAGCAGAAGUGAGAAUGUCGGCUUGAGUAGCGAAAACAUUGGUGAGAAUCCAAUGCCCCGAAAACCUAAGGUUUCCUUUGGAAGGUUCGUCCGCGAAGGGUGAGUCAGGGCCUAAGGCGAGGUUGAAAAACGUAGUCGAUGGAUAACAGGUUAAUAUUCCUGUACUAUUUAUUAUUGAUAUCAAGGGACGGAGAAGGCUAAAUCAUCCGGAUGUUGGUUACCGGUUUAAGUUAUCAAGGCUAAGAAAAGUGGAGAAAACAUUUUGAGCUGAGAAACGAAUACAAAGUACUAAGGUACUAAAGUGAUUGAUGUCAUGCUUCCUAGAAAAGCUUAUAAUAUCUUAAAUAAUAAAUACCUGUACCUUAAACCGACACAGGUAGGUAAGUAGAGUAUACUAAGGGGCGCGAGAUAACUCUCUCUAAGGAACUCGGCAAAAUAGCCCCGUAACUUCGGGAGAAGGGGUGCCCUUUGUAGGGUUGCAAUAAAUAGGCCCAAGCGACUGUUUACCAAAAACACAGGUCUCCGCGAAGUCGUAAGACAAUGUAUGGGGGCUGACGCCUGCCCAGUGCCGGAAGGUUAAAGAAGUUGGUUAGAUUUUUCAAAGCUAAUAACUGAAGCCCCGGUGAACGGCGGCCGUAACUAUAACGGUCCUAAGGUAGCGAAAUUCCUUGUCGGGUAAGUUCCGACCCGCACGAAAGGCGUAACGAUUUGGGUACUGUCUCAGAGAGAGACUCGGCGAAAUAGAAUUGUCUGUGAAGAUGCGGACUACCUGCACCUGGACAGAAAGACCCUAUGAAGCUUUACUGUAGCUUGGAAUUGAAUUUGAGUUUAUUUUGCGCAGUAUAGGUGGGAGGCUAAGAUUUUGUAUUUGAGGGUAUAAAGGAGCCAUCAGUGAGAUACCACUCUAAUUAAACUAGAAUUCUAAUCUUAAUGCCGUUAUCCGGCUAAGAAACAUUUUCAGGUGGGCAGUUUGACUGGGGCGGUCGCCUCCUAAAAAGUAACGGAGGCGUGCAAAGGUUCCUUCAGGCUGGUCGGAAAUCAGUCGUAGAGUAUAAAGGCAUAAAGGAGCUUGACUGCAAGACCUACAAGUCGAGCAGAGACGAAAGUCGGCCUUAGUGAUCCGACAGUGCUGAGUGGAAAGGCUGUCGCUCAACGGAUAAAAGUUACUCUAGGGAUAACAGGCUGAUCUCCCCCAAGAGUUCACAUCGACGGGGAGGUUUGGCACCUCGAUGUCGGCUCAUCGCAUCCUGGGGCGGUAGCACGUCCCAAGGGUUGGGCUGUUCGCCCAUGAAAGCGGUACGCGAGCUGGGUUCAGAACGUCGUGAGACAGUUCGGUCCAUAUCCGGUGUAGGCGUUAGAGUAUUGAGAGGAUUUCUCCUUAGUACGAGAGGACCGGGAGAGACAUACCGCUGGUGUACCAGUUAUUGUGCCAACAGUAAACGCUGGGUAGCUAAGUAUGGAUGUGAUAACCGCUGAAAGCAUCUAAGUGGGAAGCCUACCUCAAGAUGAAUACUCUGAUCAUUAAGAUUAAGAUCACGGUCAGACUAACCGUUUGAUAGGCGUUAAGUGUAAGUGUAGUAAUACAUUCAGCUGAAACGUACUAAUAGAUCGAAUAC
Molecule: ribosomal RNA, 2867 nt
Filed under: Malaconema sp.
Lineage: Eukaryota; Rhodophyta; Florideophyceae; Ceramiales; Sarcomeniaceae
Description: large subunit ribosomal RNA
Rfam family: Bacterial large subunit ribosomal RNA
Source: RNAcentral